This is a long non-coding RNA of Haliotis rubra (blacklip abalone), 1096 nucleotides long. RefSeq lists it as uncharacterized. NCBI's taxonomy places the organism in Eukaryota, Metazoa, Mollusca, Gastropoda, Lepetellida, Haliotidae. The transcript is spliced from 2 exons. The record is from RefSeq and is a predicted model, not a curated record.
GGCGAAGAAUGGUAAAACCAUUCUAGUUUUUGUGCUAUAAUGACUUGUGAAUAUUGCCUUUUGGGAUGAAGAAUAGCGAAACAUCUCUAAUUCUUGUGUUAUGAUGACUUGUGAAUAUUGCCCUUUGGGAUGUAGAAUAGUAAAACCGUUCUAGUUCUUGGGCUAUAAUGACUUGUAAAUAUUGCCUUUUUGGGAUGAAGAAUAGCGCAACAUCUCUAAUUCUUGUAAUAUAAUCACUUGUGAAUAUUGCCCUUUGGGAUGUAAAAUGGUGAAACCUCCCUAGUUCUUGUGUUAUGAUGACUUGUGGAUAUUGCCUUUUUGGAUGUAGAAUGGUAAAACCGUUCUAGUUCUUGUGCUUUAAUGACUUGUAAAUAUUGCCUUUAGGGAUGAAGAAUAGUAAAACAUCUCUAAUUCUUGUAAUAUAAAUCACUUGUGGAUAUUGCCCUUUGGGAUGUAGGAAGGUGAAACCUCUCUACUUUUUGUGUUAUGAUGACUUGUAAAUAUUGCCUUUUGGGAUGAAGAAUAGUGAAGCCUCUCUAGUUCUUAUGUUAUGAUUAUUUGUAGAAAAUGUUUUGCCUCUUGGGGUGAAGAAUGGUAUAAUCUUUCAGCCUUUUGUGUUCUGUGAUGACUUGUAAAUAUUGCCUAUUGGGGUGAAGAAUGGUAAAACCAUUCUAGUUCUUGUGCUAUAAUGACUUGUGAGUAUUGCCCUUUGGGAUGCACAAUAGUGAAACCUCCCUAGUUCUUGUGUUAUAAUGACUUGUGUACAUCUCUAAUUCUUGUGUUAUAAUGACUUGUAAAUGUUGCUUCUUGGGAUGAAGAAUAGUGAAACCUCUCUAGUUUUUUUGUCAUGAUUAUUUGGAAAAAUAAUGACUUGUGUUCUAAUGACUUGUGAAUAUUGCCUUUUGGGAUGAGGAAUAGUGAAACUUCUCUAGUUCUUGUGUUAAAAUGACUUGUGAAUAUUGUCUUUUAGGAUGAACAAUAGUGAAGCCUCUUGAGUUCUUGCGUUAUUAAGACUUGAUAAUAUUGCCUUUUGAAUGGUAAAACCCGUCUUUAUUGCCUAUUGGGAUUUAUGUUAAAAUGACUUGAAAAUGUAGCA